RNAcentral lists this ribosomal RNA (157 nucleotides) under uncultured bacterium. RNAcentral describes it as "partial 16S ribosomal RNA". It matches the Rfam family "Bacterial small subunit ribosomal RNA", at positions 355 to 504 of the family's 1533-position model. The record is from RNAcentral.
UGGGGAAUAUUGCGCAAUGGGCGAAAGCCUGACGCAGCCAUGCCGCGUGUGUGAAGAAGGCCUUAGGGUUGUAAAGCACUUUCAAUUGGGAAGAAAGGUUGCGUGUUAAUAGCACGUAGCUGUGACGUUACCUUUAGAAGAAGCACCGGCUAACUCC